Molecule: ribosomal RNA, 252 nt
Filed under: uncultured bacterium
Lineage: Bacteria
Description: partial 16S ribosomal RNA
Rfam family: Bacterial small subunit ribosomal RNA
Source: RNAcentral
UACGGGGGGAGCAAGCGUUGUUCGGAUUACUGGCGUAAAGGGCGCGUAGGCGGUCAGCACAAGUCAGUUGUGAAAUCUCCGGGCUUAACUCGGAAAGGUCAACUGAUACUGUGCGACUAGAGUGCGGAAGGGGCAACUGGAAUUCUCGGUGUAGCGGUGAAAAUGCGUAGAUAUCGAGAGGAACACCUGCGGCGAAGGCGGGUGCUGGGCCGACACUGACGCUGAUGCGCGAAAGCCAGGGAGGCGAACGGG